This 424-nucleotide ribosomal RNA is filed under the name uncultured bacterium. RNAcentral describes it as "bacterial SSU rRNA". It matches the Rfam family "Bacterial small subunit ribosomal RNA", at positions 361 to 776 of the family's 1533-position model. The record is from RNAcentral.
AUCUUCCGCAAUGGGCGAAAGCCUGACGGAGCAACGCCGCGUGAGCGAAGAAGGCCUUCGGGUUGUAAAGCUCUGUGAUAUUGGACGAACGUUCUUCUUGCGAAUAGUGGGGAGAAAUGACGGUACAGUAAGAGGAAGCCCCGGCUAACUACGUGCCAGCAGCCGCGGUAAUACGUAGGGGGCAAACGUUGUCCGGAAUGACUGGGCGUAAAGGGCGAGUAGGUGGUUUGCCAAGUCAGAAGUGAAAACUCCGGGCUCAACCUGGAGAUUGCUACUGAAACUGGCAGACUUGAGUGCAGGAGAGGGAAGCGGAAUUCCUAGUGUAGCGGUGAAAUGCGUAGAUAUUAGGAGGAACACCAGUGGCGAAGGCGGCUUCCUGGCCUGUAACUGACACUGAGGCGCGAAAGCGUGGGGAGCGAACAGG